AGAGUUUGAUCCUGGCUCAGGACGAACGCUGGCGGCGUGCCUAACACAUGCAAGUCGAGCGAUGAAGUUUCCUUCGGGAAAUGGAUUAGCGGCGGACGGGUGAGUAACACGUGGGUAACCUGCCUUAUAGUGGGGGAUAGCCUUCCGAAAGGAAGAUUAAUACCGCAUAAGAUUGUAGUAUCGCAUGAUAUAGCAAUUAAAGGAGCAAUCCGCUAUAAGAUGGACCCGCGUCGCAUUAGCUAGUUGGUGAGGUAAUGGCUCACCAAGGCGACGAUGCGUAGCCGACCUGAGAGGGUGAUCGGCCACAUUGGGACUGAGACACGGCCCAGACUCCUACGGGAGGCAGCAGUGGGGAAUAUUGCACAAUGGGCGAAAGCCUGAUGCAGCAACGCCGCGUGAGUGAUGACGGCCUUCGGGUUGUAAAACUCUGUCUUCAGGGACGAUAAUGACGGUACCUGAGGAGGAAGCCACGGCUAACUACGU
This 483-nucleotide ribosomal RNA is filed under the name uncultured Clostridium sp. RNAcentral describes it as "bacterial SSU rRNA". It matches the Rfam family "Bacterial small subunit ribosomal RNA", at positions 8 to 506 of the family's 1533-position model. Lineage: Bacteria; Bacillati; Bacillota; Clostridia; Eubacteriales; Clostridiaceae. The record is from RNAcentral.